CGGGUUGCGCCCGACGCGCUCGACCGUGAACCUCUCGACCAGCUCGUCGACGGAGAAGAUGUUCGUCUUGUCGUCGUAGCUCCACCCGAGGAGCGCGAGGUAGUUGACCAUCGCCUCGGGCAGUAUUCCGCCGUCGCGGUACGCGCUCACCGCAACGUCUCCCCAUCGCUUCGACAGCGGCCGGCCCUUCUCGUCGACCAGUAGGGGGAGGUGAGCCCACACCG
This 224-nucleotide unclassified non-coding RNA is filed under the name uncultured fungus. RNAcentral's name for it is "sequence contains ITS1". Lineage: Eukaryota; Fungi. The record is from RNAcentral.